CCGAGUCUUGUGUCUAAAAUCAUCUACUCGGCGAGAGCUUUCCAUAGACACCAAGAACGCCGAAAUCCAUCGAGCGGUAUGUCCGAUUUUUGCUCGGGAAGAUUUUAGCCCAUUUCGACUUUUGGGCUAGAUUUCUAGAAAACCGUGAAUCCCACGAGAAAACCGAGGCCACCAGCACGCUCCAUUCGUCGAGAGCUUCGCAACGACAUAAAUUUUGAAUUUUUCCGACAUCGUUUUUCGGUAUCCUCGAUUCGCGGAAAUUCGACAGUUGACCGGGUCUGCAAAUUUCGGGCCAGACAGACCCGUUACCGGAAAAGUCUCCGAAUUGGACCGAGGUUUUGGCUAGCCCCCCAUUGUCAGACGUCCCGAGCGUGUUCCCGAAGUCGGAAUCGGCAAAGGUGAGCCGGGACAGCCUUCUUCCUCCGCCCAGCCGCCUCAGUGACCAUCGUCAAGUCUGUGAGUAAAAUAUUAAUUUUAAUUGUAAUUUCGAUAUUAUUAUAUGUUCAGCAUGCCCAUGCAUCACUUAUAUGCAUAUAUUUAUGUAGUUAAACUCUAGGCACGAUUUAUGUUGCAUUCAUAACUGUUGAUGUGCCAUGGAUGUUGUUGUGGUAAUUUGGAGCAGUGUGCGUUCGUUGGCGUGCGUGUGAUGUGGU
Hevea brasiliensis (rubber tree) is the source of this 653-nucleotide long non-coding RNA. RefSeq lists it as uncharacterized. NCBI's taxonomy places the organism in Eukaryota, Viridiplantae, Streptophyta, Magnoliopsida, Malpighiales, Euphorbiaceae. The transcript is spliced from 3 exons. The record is from RefSeq and is a predicted model, not a curated record.